GACGAACGCUGGCGGCGUGCCUAAUACAUGCAAGUUGAGCGCUGAAGGUUGGUACUUGUACCAACUGGAUGAGCAGCGAACGGGUGAGUAACGCGUGGGGAAUCUGCCUUUGAGCGGGGGACAACAUUUGGAAACGAAUGCUAAUACCGCAUAAAAACUUUAAACACAAGUUUUAAGUUUGAAAGAUGCAAUUGCAUCACUCAAAGAUGAUCCCGCGUUGUAUUAGCUAGUUGGUGAGGUAAAGGCUCACCAAGGCGAUGAUACAUAGCCGACCUGAGAGGGUGAUCGGCCACAUUGGGACUGAGACACGGCCCAAACGCCUACGGGAGGCAGCAGUAGGGAAUCUUCGGCAAUGGACGAAAGUCUGACCGAGCAACGCCGCGUGAGUGAAGAAGGGUUUCGGAUCGUAAAACUCUGUUGGUAGAGAAGAACGUUGGUGAGAGUGGAAAGCUCAUCAAGUGACGGUAACUACCCAGAAAGGGACGGCUAACUACGUG
Molecule: ribosomal RNA, 497 nt
Filed under: uncultured bacterium
Lineage: Bacteria
Description: partial 16S ribosomal RNA
Rfam family: Bacterial small subunit ribosomal RNA
Source: RNAcentral